Molecule: long non-coding RNA, 292 nt
Organism: Hypomesus transpacificus
Lineage: Eukaryota; Metazoa; Chordata; Actinopteri; Osmeriformes; Osmeridae
Exons: 3
Source: RefSeq, a predicted model, not a curated record
GGCCGAAAUCAAGAACUAUGACCCAUGGGGCCGGGGAGGGUGCGGCGCACCCCUCAGAGACAACCAAGGGGACCUCAUUACUGACCUGAAGCAGAUGCACAAGCAGAAUGAGGAAGCUUGGAUGAACCCUGAGACUUCUCUGAAAAAAGCCACCAGGCCCAUCCUGAAGGAGGACAGACUGCCUCCCAUCAACACAGUCUCUGGUUUUGCCCCUGUCCAGACCUCGAUGUAUGCCAGAGGAAAUGUGUUUCCUAAUCAGCCAACGCUUCAUCAACUCACUGAACUGGAUAAG